This 306-nucleotide ribosomal RNA is filed under the name Vibrio parahaemolyticus. Its description in RNAcentral is "partial 23S ribosomal RNA". It matches the Rfam family "Bacterial large subunit ribosomal RNA", at positions 176 to 529 of the family's 2925-position model. The record is from RNAcentral. Lineage: Bacteria; Pseudomonadati; Pseudomonadota; Gammaproteobacteria; Vibrionales; Vibrionaceae.
GAGGCGAACCGGGGGAACUGAAACAUCUAAGUACCCCGAGGAAAAGAAAUCAACCGAGAUUCCGAAAGUAGCGGCGAGCGAAAUUGGACUAGCCCUUAAGCUUUACACGCGUUAGACGAACGGUCUGGAAAGUCCGACGAUACAGGGUGAUAGUCCCGUAGUUGACGACGUGUGUUCAGUGAAAUCGAGUAGGGCGGGACACGUGAUAUCCUGUCUGAAUAUGGGGGGACCAUCCUCCAAGGCUAAAUACUACUGACUGACCGAUAGUGAACCAGUACCGUGAGGGAAAGGCGAAAAGAACCCCUG